AGCUUGCGGUUUAAUUGGAUUCAACGCCGGAAAUCUUACCGGGACCGACAGCAAUAUGAAGGCCAGGCUGAAGACUUUGCCGGAUUAGCUGAGAGGUGGUGCAUGGCCGUCGUCAGUUCGUACUGUGAAGCAUCCUGUUAAGUCAGGCAACGAGCGAGACCCACGCCCACAGUUGCCAGCGUACUCUCUGGAGUGACGGGUACACUGUGGGACCGCCGCUGCUAAAGCGGAGGAAGGAAUGGGCAACGGUAGGUCAGUAUGCCCCGAAUAUCCCGGGCUACACGCGAGCUACAAUGGUUGGUACAAUGGGUAUCUACCCCGAAAGGGGACGGGAAUCUCCUAAAACCAAUCUUAGUUCGGAUUGAGGGCUGCAACUCGCCCUCAUGAAGCUGGAAUCCGUAGUAAUCGCGUUUCAACAGAACGCGGUGAAUACGUCCCUGCUCCUU
Molecule: ribosomal RNA, 446 nt
Filed under: uncultured Methanosaeta sp.
Lineage: Archaea; Methanobacteriati; Methanobacteriota; Methanomicrobia; Methanotrichales; Methanotrichaceae
Description: bacterial SSU rRNA
Rfam family: Archaeal small subunit ribosomal RNA
Source: RNAcentral